AUUGAACGCUGGCGGCAGGCCUAACACAUGCAAGUCGAGCGGAUGAAGGGAGCUUGCUCCUGGAUUCAGCGGCGGACGGGUGAGUAAUGCCUAGGAAUCUGCCUGGUAGUGGGGGAUAACGUCCGGAAACGGGCGCUAAUACCGCAUACGUCCUGAGGGAGAAAGUGGGGGAUCUUCGGACCUCACGCUAUUAGAUUAGCCUAGGGCGGAUUAGCUAGUUGGUGGGGUAAAGGCCUACCAAGGCGACGAUCCGUAACUGGUCUGAGAGGAUGAUCAGUCACCCUGGAACUGAAACACGGUCCAGACUCCUACGGGAGGCAGCAGUGGGGAAUAUUGGACAAUGGGCGGAAGCCUGAUCCAGCCAUGCCGCGUGUGUGAAGAAGGUCUUCGGAUUGUAAAGCACUUUAAGUUGGGAGGAAGGGCAGUAAGUUAAUACCUUGCUGUUUUGACGUUACCAACAGAAUAAGCACCGGCUAACUUCGUG
This 484-nucleotide ribosomal RNA is filed under the name uncultured bacterium. Its description in RNAcentral is "partial 16S ribosomal RNA". It matches the Rfam family "Bacterial small subunit ribosomal RNA", at positions 30 to 507 of the family's 1533-position model. The record is from RNAcentral.